Molecule: long non-coding RNA, 1743 nt
Organism: Callithrix jacchus (white-tufted-ear marmoset)
Lineage: Eukaryota; Metazoa; Chordata; Mammalia; Primates; Cebidae
Source: Ensembl
GAAUGUAAGCCAGUGGUCCAUAGUUAGUGCUAAGUAAAUACUAGUUGCUUAUCCUUGCCAUAAUUGUCACCACCAUCACCACCACCGUCAUCGCCAUCAUCACCACCACCAUCACUGCUUGAGGGAAUCUGUGGGGAUCGCUCCCGUGUGAGGCCCCUGGGAAAUGGGCCUCGCCAUACGGUGAGCUUGAGCCCAGACACAGAUCCCUGGUUGGGGGAGUCGAGCUGAGGGAAAGCAGGAACCGAGAGAGGGACUAUGUUAUUCUAAAUAAUUAACAGACAUUACUUUAUGGAUAUGAGGACUUGGGAGGCAUUGUGUCCACUUUGGCUUCUUAUGGUUUAUUGCUUGACUGUGUUCAUUUUGGACCCUUGUUACCUUCAUUGUAGAAUAUUAACUUAAGUAUUUACACUUGGUAACUUACUUACCGUAACUUACUGGGUGUAACUGUAACUUACUUCUCAUAGCUUACUGGGCGUGACUGUAACUUACUUAGAUUGAUCUACUGGGAGUAACCUAAUUACUGAAAGUAACCUACUUACUGAAAGUAACCUACUUACUGGGCGUAACCUACUUAAUGGAUUAACUUACUGGGCAUAACUUAGUGGGCGUAACUUGCUUACUGUAACUUAAGUACGUUGAUCUGGUGUAAACAACUUUGACUUCAGAAAAGUAUAUAAGGAAACAUAUUGCAAAAAUAAAAUUGCUGCUUGGACAUAGCCUAAGCCAGCCCUCCAGACUCCACUUUUCUAUUUUCUUUCACUUCCGCGCACUCUCUCCCUCAGGUUGAACGAGACAUCUACGUUGGCGGUCUUGGGGACUCCUGCAGGGGAAGAAAAUUACUACUAUCCUUACUUGGUGAGAAGAGGAAGUGGCUCCAAUAAGCGGUGUAGGGCUCUGGGUCAGGUCUCCAGAGGAGUCUACAGUGGUUUACUAGCUCAGCAAAGAAGAGGAGGACAUCUUGCCGACAUCACUGCAGUCGGAACAAGUUACCAUAUUUUGUUCUCAUUUGAAUAAGAAGUACAUGAGGAAAAAGAAAUAUUUCCUGGACUUGUAUGUACUUUGCUUUCACAAGUAUUUCCUUUGUAAGUUGAUAUUCCCCCAGUGGCCUCCUACCAAAAACAGCAGUCUCUUUGUGUGCCCUUGGACAUGAGCAGGUGGCACCAGGCCCACAGAACCCUGACAAGGGUGUGGAAGGACAGGAAUGGAAAGAAAACAAACAUGAGAAACAAAAUCUCCUAAGAAGAUCUUUCAGAGUUUAUCUUGUCAACCACCUGCAAGAGAUGGAGAAGCAGAACAAAGCCCAUUAAGGUCUAUGAUGGCAUUUUAACAAGAGUGUGGCAGACAAUUUCAUUCCCUGUGUUCUGACAUGUACUAUUUUUCACACUCAGCAAUCAACACCCAUGUUCUCUCUUCAUUUUUGUUAGUGAUUCAAAGUGUACUCUUACAAUUUUUUGCCAUAUGUGCUAUCUAUGCACACAUACUUAAAUCUGUAAAAUCAUAAUAGCACUUUGAUGGAAUCAUGCUGUCUCUCAAUGGAAUCUAAUUGGUAAUUUGCCUCUAAUUUUUAUAGUUACUUGAAUCCUAGAAUAGUCUGCAAGCCCAUGGUCUCAACAUAAUAAUACCGUAAUUACCAUAAAUAAUACUUUGAUGAAUCACAGCUUCUUUAUUCCUUUCUCUUUGACCAACAUUAUUUCUAACUUAGCACUGAUAUCUUCAUACUGCUUUUUUGCUUACCAGACUGAU